Molecule: ribosomal RNA, 116 nt
Filed under: Pelagibacterium luteolum
Lineage: Bacteria; Pseudomonadati; Pseudomonadota; Alphaproteobacteria; Hyphomicrobiales; Devosiaceae
Source: RNAcentral
CCUGGUGGCUAUGGCGAAGCGCCCAGAACCCGAUCCCAUUCCGAACUCGACCGUUAAACGCUUCUGCGCCAAUGGUACUGUGUCUUAAGGCACGGGAGAGUAGGUCGCCGCCAGGU